GCAGUCGAGGGGUAUUUAUCUUCGGAUAGAGAGACCGGCGCACGGGUGCGUAACGCGUAUGCAAUCUACCUUUUACAGAGGGAUAGCCCAGAGAAAUUUGGAUUAAUACCUCAUAGCAUUGCAGAAUGGCAUCAUUCAGCAAUUAAAGUCACAACGGUAAAAGAUGAGCAUGCGUCCCAUUAGCUAGUUGGUAAGGUAACGGCUUACCAAGGCUACGAUGGGUAGGGGUCCUGAGAGGGAGAUCCCCCACACUGGUACUGAGACACGGACCAGACUCCUACGGGAGGCAGCAGUGAGGAAUAUUGGACAAUGGGCGCAAGCCUGAUCCAGCCAUGCCGCGUGCAGGAUGACGGUCCUAUGGAUUGUAAACUGCUUUUAUACGAGAAGAAACACUCCUUCGUGAAGGAGCUUGACGGUAUCGUAAGAAUAAGGAUCGGCUAACUCCGUGCCAGCAGCCGCGGUAAUACGGAGGAUCCAAGCGUUAUCCGGAAUCAUUGGGUUUAAAGGGUCCGUAGGCGGUUUAAUAAGUCAGUGGUGAAAGCCCAUCGCUCAACGGUGGAACGGCCAUUGAUACUGUUAGACUUGAAUUAUUAGGAAGUAACUAGAAUAUGUAGUGUAGCGGUGAAAUGCUUAGAGAUUACAUGGAAUACCAAUUGCGAAGGCAGGUUACUACUAAUUGAUUGACGCUGAUGGACGAAAGCGUGGGUAGCGAACAGGAUUAGAUACCCUGGUAGUCCACGCCGUAAACGAUGGAUACUAGCUGUUGGGUGCAAACUCAGUGGCUAAGCGAAAGUGAUAAGUAUCCCACCUGGGGAGUACGUUCGCAAGAAUGAAACUCAAAGGAAUUGACGGGGGCCCGCACAAGCGGUGGAGCAUGUGGUUUAAUUCGAUGAUACGCGAGGAACCUUACC
RNAcentral lists this ribosomal RNA (911 nucleotides) under Flavobacterium sp. RNAcentral describes it as "bacterial SSU rRNA". It matches the Rfam family "Bacterial small subunit ribosomal RNA", at positions 57 to 975 of the family's 1533-position model. The record is from RNAcentral. Lineage: Bacteria; Pseudomonadati; Bacteroidota; Flavobacteriia; Flavobacteriales; Flavobacteriaceae.